Molecule: ribosomal RNA, 495 nt
Filed under: uncultured bacterium
Lineage: Bacteria
Description: bacterial SSU rRNA
Rfam family: Bacterial small subunit ribosomal RNA
Source: RNAcentral
AACGAACGCUGGCGGCAUGCCUAACACAUGCAAGUCGAACGAAGUCUUCGGACUUAGUGGCGCACGGGUGCGUAACGCGUGGGAAUCUGCCCUUGGGUACGGAAUAACUCAGAGAAAUUUGUGCUAAUACCGUAUAAUGACUUCGGUCCAAAGAUUUAUCGCCCAAGGAUGAGCCCGCGUAAGAUUAGCUAGUUGGUGAGGUAAAAGCUCACCAAGGCGACGAUCUUUAGCUGGUCUGAGAGGAUGAUCAGCCACACUGGGACUGAGACACGGCCCAGACUCCUACGGGAGGCAGCAGUGGGGAAUAUUGGACAAUGGGCGAAAGCCUGAUCCAGCAAUGCCGCGUGAGUGAUGAAGGCCUUAGGGUUGUAAAGCUCUUUUACCCGGGAUGAUAAUGACAGUACCGGGAGAAUAAGCUCCGGCUAACUCCGUGCCAGCAGCCGCGGUAAUACGGAGGGAGCUAGCGUUGUUCGGAAUUACUGGCGUAAAGCGCGC